This 427-nucleotide ribosomal RNA is filed under the name uncultured bacterium. RNAcentral describes it as "bacterial SSU rRNA". It matches the Rfam family "Bacterial small subunit ribosomal RNA", at positions 917 to 1344 of the family's 1533-position model. The record is from RNAcentral.
GGGCCCGCACAAGCGGUGGAGUAUGUGGUUUAAUUCGAUGCAACGCGAAGAACCUUACCAGGGUUUGACAUCCUGCGAAUCUCUUGGAAACAGGAGAGUGCCUUCGGGAACGCAGUGACAGGUGGUGCAUGGCUGUCGUCAGCUCGUGUCGUGAGAUGUUGGGUUAAGUCCCGCAACGAGCGCAACCCACGUCUUUAGUUGCCAGCGAGUCAUGUCGGGAACUCUAGCGAGACUGCCGGUGCAAACCGUGAGGAAGGUGGGGAUGACGUCAAAUCAUCACGGCCCUUACGUCCUGGGCCACACACGUGCUACAAUGGUAGGGACAGAGGGCAGCUACCCCGCGAGGGGAUGCGAAUCUUCAAACCCUAUCACAGUUCGGAUCGCAGUCUGCAACUCGACUGCGUGAAGCUGGAAUCGCUAGUAAUCG